RNAcentral lists this ribosomal RNA (328 nucleotides) under uncultured eukaryote. RNAcentral's name for it is "partial 18S ribosomal RNA". It matches the Rfam family "Eukaryotic small subunit ribosomal RNA", at positions 1470 to 1796 of the family's 1831-position model. The record is from RNAcentral.
CCCUUAGAUGUCCUGGGCCGCACGCGCGCUACACUGAGUGUCUGAGAUACGAGUCUGCCUAGCCGGCGAGGUCUAGGUAAUCGCUGAAAGACACAUCAUCCUUGGGAUAGAUUAUUGCAGAUAUUAAUCUUGAACGAGGAAUUCCUAGUAAGCGCAAGUCAACAGCUUGCGUUGAUUACGUCCCUGCCCUUUGUGCACACCGCCCGUCGCUACUACUGAUUGGAUGUUUAAGCGAGGUUCUCGAACUGCUAGCGACUUAGCUUCGGUGAGGUCGCCGUGUGGGAAGUGAACCUAGCUUUGGUGUCGAGAGGAAGUAAAAGUCGUAUCA